This 503-nucleotide ribosomal RNA is filed under the name uncultured bacterium. RNAcentral's name for it is "partial 16S ribosomal RNA". It matches the Rfam family "Bacterial small subunit ribosomal RNA", at positions 30 to 523 of the family's 1533-position model. The record is from RNAcentral.
AUUGAACGCUGGCGGCAGGCUUAACACAUGCAAGUCGAGCGGGGUGAUGGUGCUUGCACUAUCACUUAGCGGCGGACGGGUGAGUAAUGCUUAGGAAUCUGCCUAUUAGUGGGGGACAACAUCUCGAAAGGGAUGCUAAUACCGCAUACGUCCUACGGGAGAAAGCAGGGGAUCACUUGUGACCUUGCGCUAAUAGAUGAGCCUAAGUCGGAUUAGCUAGUUGGUGGGGUAAAGGCCUACCAAGGCGACGAUCUGUAGCGGGUCGGAGAGGAUGGUCCGCCAACCUGGGACUGAGACACGGCCCAGACUCCUACGGGAGGCAGCAGUGGGGAAUAUUGGACAAUGGGGGGAACCCUGAUCCAGCCAUGCCGCGUGUGUGAAGAAGGCCUUAUGGUUGUAAAGCACUUUAAGCGAAGAGGAGGCUCUUUUGGUUAAUACCCAAGAUGAGUGGACGUUACUCGCAGAAUAAGCACCGGCUAACUCUGUGCCAGCCGCCGCGGUAA